AUCGGAUUGAUAUAAGCCAUGCGAGUCUUUGUAGUAAUACAAGGCAGACGGCUCAGUAACACGUAGUCAACCUACCCUAUGGACGAGAAUAAUCUCGGGAAACUGAGCAUAAUUCUUGAUAGAUCAUAAUGCCUGGAAUGGUUUAUGGUUAAAAUGAUUCGUCGCCAUAGGAUGGGACUGCGGCCUAUCAGCUUGUUGGUGAGGUAAUGGCCCACCAAGGCGAUUACAGGUACGGGCUCUGAGAGGAGAAGCCCGGAGAUGGGUACUGAGACACGGACCCAGGCCCUAUGGGGCGCAGCAGGCGAGAAAACUUUGCAAUGUGCGAAAGCACGACAAGGUUAAUCCGAGUGAUUUCUGCUAAAGAAAUCUUUUGCCAGUCAUAAAACCACUGGUGAAUAAGGGGUGGGCAAGUUCUGGUGUCAGCCGCCGCGGUAAAACCAGCACCUCAAGUGGUCAGGAUGAUUAUUGGGCCUAAAGCAUCCGUAGCCUGCUCUGUAAGUUUUCGGUUAAAUCUGUAUGCUCAACAUACAGGCCGCCGGAAAUACUGCAGGGCUAGGGAGUGGGAGAGGUAGACGGUACUCGGGAGGAAGUGGUAAAAUGCUUUGAUCUUUCGGUGACCACCUGUGGCGAAGGCGGUCUACCAGAACACGUCCGACGGUGAGGGAUGAAAGCUGGGGGAGCAAACCGGAUUAGAUACCCGGGUAGUCCCAGCCGUAAACGAUGCAGACUAGAUGAUGCAUUGGCAUAAUAGCCAUUGCAGUGUCUCAGGGAAGCCGUUAAGUCUGCCGCCUGGGAGUACGUACGCAAGUAUGAAACUUAAGGAAUUGGCGGGG
RNAcentral lists this ribosomal RNA (833 nucleotides) under uncultured marine group I thaumarchaeote. RNAcentral's name for it is "SSU rRNA". It matches the Rfam family "Archaeal small subunit ribosomal RNA", at positions 32 to 873 of the family's 1478-position model. The record is from RNAcentral. Lineage: Archaea; Thermoproteati; Nitrososphaerota.